UAUUUCUCCCUUUUUAUGUAG
RNAcentral lists this non-coding RNA (21 nucleotides) under Caenorhabditis elegans. The record is from RNAcentral. Lineage: Eukaryota; Metazoa; Nematoda; Chromadorea; Rhabditida; Rhabditidae.